AGUGCGGGCUUCCUGGGGAAUCAUUUGAGCUUUGAAGGUGGGGAGGAGGAAUGUCAGAGAGUGGGCAAAAUACAACACGAAAGGGAAAUUCACCCUCUGAGGGCCAGGGACACGGGGGCAGCCUGCUCUCCUCCUGGGGCCCUGUUCCUUGUGGGGACUGGAAGAGAGGCUUUGACUCUAGGGCCUGGGGCAGCAAGGGUUGACAGGGGUGCAGUCCUAGAAGGGUUGGCAGUUACGGUGGCCCACCAUGGCAUCUCCGUAUCCUUGCUCCAUGCUGCACCCACUCCAGCUGCCAGAGCACGGAGGCAGAGACGUGGGAGCAGAUGAAGGUUGCACGCCAGCCUCCCACCUGUGAGACAAAGGGCCCUGUCACUGGAAGCCACGUCCAGCCUGGCCCCUCAGGAGCCAGGGCUCUGCACCUAAUGGAGGACUGAUGGGAAAGGGAAGGCUGGCAGCAGUGAGGUGACCCCUCCCAAGCAGAGCUGUCGCUGAGCUCCUGAUUCUGGUCCACUGUUACCGGGGAGACUGCUGUCCCCAGGCCU
Molecule: non-coding RNA, 542 nt
Filed under: Pongo abelii (Sumatran orangutan)
Lineage: Eukaryota; Metazoa; Chordata; Mammalia; Primates; Hominidae
Source: RNAcentral